GGACUGGCGAAGAGAAGGAAUAGUAGCUGGCAAGCAUCUUUUUCCAGAGAGUCUGCGGUCAGUGUAAGCAGACAGGUGCUCCAGACGAACUCACCUUUGAGCUUGAUGGUGAAGACACUGCCUUUGUUGAGGCAGGUACUUAGCCGGAACGCUACCCUGCGUUACAGGGCAGAGUGGACAUGGGCAAAGCAUGCUCCGUGUCAACUAGGGUGGUACCACGGGAAACACAGGCCUCUCGUCCCUAGC
This 246-nucleotide non-coding RNA is filed under the name Paenibacillus larvae. RNAcentral's name for it is "T-box sequence". It matches the Rfam family "T-box leader". From Rfam's summary of the family: Uncharged tRNA acts as the effector for transcription antitermination of genes in the T-box leader family. T-boxes are found upstream of many aminoacyl-tRNA synthetase genes and some amino acid biosynthetic genes usually in Gram-positive bacteria. Lineage: Bacteria; Bacillati; Bacillota; Bacilli; Caryophanales; Paenibacillaceae. The record is from RNAcentral.